UGAUUGUAAAAUUUUCAUAGUCAUUUACCAGUCGAAGACGAAGCUUGCCAAGUUUCAAGAAAUUUGCAUGUAGUGUUACUGUGAGUUUGGAGUAAAGUCAAUUUUGAGCGUCUCUGUUCUCCUGAAAGACUACAAACAGUACGGAAAUGCAAGACAACCAGCGUUCCAGCAUAUUAAAGCUAAUUAAGAAUGCACAAAGCAAAGAAAUGUGCAUGUAGUUCGCGAAUGUCAAGAAAUAAGAUCAAUUCAUGGUCGGUGAGUUUUAAGCAACGUUUUUCAUUGAUUUUAAUACUUUGUGGUUUCAUAUUAACGUAUUUGUUUGCUCUGGCCCGUAUUGCUCAAUUCCUAAAUCGGAAAUUAAUAAGCCGUGUGUGUUUAAAUGUACAAAUCAUAGCUGUAGUCUGUACGAUCGAAAUCAUUCAACUGAACAUUGGCUGAUAAUGUUGUUAAUACAAUUAUUUGUAUCAAGGGCAAAAAUCAAAUGCAAAACUAUAGCCGAAUGCAAAAGGCGAGAUUCGAGUAUUUGAUCCAGUCUUUUCCCGUCAUUUCCACUACUCAGUAAGACAAUACUUAACGACGCAACGAAUAAUAAUAAAAAUUAUAAAAGACCUUUUAUUUCACCAAACUGACCACACUGACUCUAUAUAGUAAUUUUCGUCAUUCAAUAUAGCAGUUUUCUCCGAUCAAAUGAUCCUCC
Non-coding RNA from Paramuricea clavata, 697 nucleotides. Lineage: Eukaryota; Metazoa; Cnidaria; Anthozoa; Malacalcyonacea; Plexauridae. The record is from the annotation of a GenBank genome assembly.